GUUUGCAGUUAUGGUUCAUUUUCCAUUCUUUUAUUCACAUUCAAUAAUCAUCAAGUAUUCCUGAGGUCAGGGUAAUCUGGUUCAGUAAUCCAGCACAUUGUUCAACAUCUGUUUCAGCACAUUCAUUCACUUCCACGCUUUCAGGUGAACUCAAUUCAAGAGUAGGUUGCAAGGUCAUUGGUUUAACAUUACGAUUCAAUUCCUGGUCAGUUUCUUUCCUAAUUUGCCUAAUCAUAUUUUCUAGAUCAGAGAGAUUACCUUGAUAGCUAGCGCUGAAUCUAGCCUUUCUGCGUUUUCGCCUUGUAAGACGUAUUGGUUUUGUGCUACCGCUCUGUGGUCCAUACGGUUGGUGUUCAGGCAACACGUCACAUUUAAAAGUAUUUCC
Molecule: long non-coding RNA, 385 nt
Organism: Alosa sapidissima (American shad)
Lineage: Eukaryota; Metazoa; Chordata; Actinopteri; Clupeiformes; Clupeidae
Exons: 3
Source: RefSeq, a predicted model, not a curated record